RNAcentral lists this ribosomal RNA (572 nucleotides) under Biatoropsis usnearum. RNAcentral describes it as "eukaryotic LSU rRNA". It matches the Rfam family "Eukaryotic large subunit ribosomal RNA", at positions 370 to 951 of the family's 3401-position model. The record is from RNAcentral. Lineage: Eukaryota; Fungi; Basidiomycota; Tremellomycetes; Tremellales; Tremellaceae.
AGCACUUUGGAAAGAGAGUUAAACAGUAUGUGAAAUUGUUGAAAGGGAACGAUUGAAGUCAGUCGUGUCAAGGGGAUUCAGCUGGCUCUGCCGGUGUAUUCCCCUUGACGGGUCAACAUCAGUUUUCCCCGGCGGAAAAGGGCGACGGAAGGUGGCACCCUCGGGUGUGUUAUAGCCCGUUGCCGCAUACGUCGGUGAGACUGAGGAACGCAGCUCGCCCUCACGGGCCGGGGUUCGCCCACGUCGAGCUUAGGAUGUUGACAGAAUGGCUUUAAACGACCCGUCUUGAAACACGACCAAGGAGUCUAACAUAUCUGCGAGUGUUUGGGUGUCAAACCCGGGCCGUAAUGAAAGUAAACAUGGGAGGGAUCCGCAAGGAGCACCUUUGACCGUCUGGAUCUUCUGUGAUGGAUUUGAGUAAGAGCAUAUAUGCUGGGACCCAAAGAUGGUGAACUAUGCCUGAAUAGGGCGAAGCCAGGGGAAACUCUGGGGAGGCUCGUAGCGAUUCUGACGUGCAAAUCGAUCGUCAAAUUUGGGUAAGGGGCGAAAGACUAAUCGAACCAUCUAGUAGC